Molecule: ribosomal RNA, 464 nt
Filed under: uncultured bacterium
Lineage: Bacteria
Description: bacterial SSU rRNA
Rfam family: Bacterial small subunit ribosomal RNA
Source: RNAcentral
GACGAACGCUGGCGGCGUGCCUAACACAUGCAAGUCGAACGGGGUGAAGAGCUUCGGCUUUUCACUUAGCGGCGAACGGGUGAGUAACGCGUGAGGAACCUGCCUCUCAGUGGGGGACAACAGUUGGAAACGACUGCUAAUACCGCAUGAGACCACAGUGCCGCAUGGCACAGGGGUCAAAGAUUUAUUGCUGAGAGGUGGGCUCGCGUCCGAUUAGAUAGUUGGUGAGGUAACGGCUCACCAAGUCGACGAUCGGUAGCCGACCUGAGAGGGUGAUCGGCCACAUUGGGACUGAGACACGGCCCAAACUCCUACGGGAGGCAGCAGUGGGGAAUAUUGGGCAAUGGGCGAAAGCCUGACCCAGCAACGCCGCGUGAAGGAAGAAGGUCUUCGGAUCGUAAACUUCUGUCCUAAGUGAAGAGUAGAAGACGGUAACUUAGGAGGAAGCCCCGGCUAACUACGUG